Molecule: long non-coding RNA, 1628 nt
Filed under: Bemisia tabaci
Lineage: Eukaryota; Metazoa; Arthropoda; Insecta; Hemiptera; Aleyrodidae
Description: lncRNA ENSSSA3NGG003208
Source: RNAcentral
UGGACACAGUACCCGUAUUUGAAUAUUUUUUCUUCCAAAUAUGACGUAAAUUAUAACAAAAUUUUCACUAUCUCUUAUUUCAGGUGAAGGAGAUCCUUUCGGCGAUUUUGAAGAGUCAAACGAGAAGGGGAGUGGUAUCGGAGAGCCUGAAGAAUCCACAACAAACGCUACAUUAGCAGAGUUUUCGGACGAAGAUGAUAUGGGUACGAACAUCAGCAAAGGAUUGAAAGACCGCAGAUCCAGGUCCAGCACGAGCCUGUAUAAGGCCAAGAACCUACGGCCGGGAAAGCUUUUUACCCCUAAUCGAAUCACCCGCCAGGAAAGGUAUAAGCUCAGCGGGUCUCUGCCGAAUUUCCUGGACAUAAAAUCUCCGGGAGCGGGCGGGGACUUCCGGGAACGGGAGAUCUACGCGGACAACAACAAUGAGACGAAGGAGAAGAUGCUGGACAUCGGGCGCUUCGAGAAGUACGAGGAGGGCCUCAACAACUACAGCCUGGUCUUCGCCGAGAAGCCGCGAUCCACGCCGCCACCCCCGCCGCCCGAGGACAAGGAGAACGGGCCCGUCGCCCCCAAACGGAGGCUCUCCUCAAAGCGAGCUAGUCAUAAUAAUCAAUUUGCAUCGAUGACGCAACGUUCGAUGUAACCCUGAACAAAGGCCACGGUGGUCUAGGACUGAGCAUCAGUGGCGGGAAGAAUAGCGAUGACCAAUCAUACGGCCUCAUAUCAAUCAAAAAGCUGUUUCCGCAUCAAGCUGCCUGGCAGAGUGGUCGACUCCAAGUUGGGGACAUCCUCCUUGCGGUCAACGGCGUUCCUUUGACCGGCCUUACCAAUUUCGAGGCGCUAGAGGUGUUGCGGAAGUCAACGAAUCCUGUGAACUUGACCGUGCGUCGACCGGUCGGUCCCCAAAGUCGCCGGAACCUCUGACCAAACCGUCAGAACAGCGCAAGUCCCCAGAGCCCCAUGAUCAAAACAAUUCCUCGCUCAACAAAUCAAACACUAGUUCGUCCAGCCCUCCGCCAUCCCUUCCGCCUUCGUUCUUGGAGGAUGGCCCUUCGGAAUUCGAGAUAACUUUGAAGAAAGUCAAUGGAAGUCUUGGAUUUACGUUACGGAAGGAGGAAGGGAGUUUAGGCCAUUAUGUUCGAGCACUAGUCAAGGAGCCUGCUCUGUCGGAUGGCCGAAUUCAUCCUGGCGACAGAAUCGUCUCGGUAAACGGAGUGGACCUCUCAGCUCUGAGCCAUGAGCGGGCCGUGGCGUUCCUGCGGCAAUGCGGGGAGGAGGUCCGGUUACGACUGCACAGGGAUCCAACGCGGUCGCCCGACUCCACCGGCCCCCAGCUGAAACAACCCAAACCGAUCCUCAGGAAAGAAGCAAUGGAAAUGCUGAGUGAAAAGAAAAGGAACGAGUCAUCCAAUUCCAGACAGAGAAGCAAAUCGGCCCUGGCAAAUUCAAGAGAACAAAUCAAAAAGAGUGACUUCCAUUCCAGCUAUGAGGAAUCGGACAGCAUGGACACGCUGGACGGGCCGGGGUCCCUGCCGGAGUCCUCCCUCCCGUACAACCCGUUCCAGCACGACAGCCUCGUCCUCCACACGGGGGUCUUCGGGGCCCCGGACCCGGCUCCCUGGACCUGA